Molecule: long non-coding RNA, 5645 nt
Organism: Piliocolobus tephrosceles (Ugandan red Colobus)
Lineage: Eukaryota; Metazoa; Chordata; Mammalia; Primates; Cercopithecidae
Source: Ensembl
AAUAUGGAAAUCAAAAUGGUUCUGUUUAUUGUAAAAAUGAUAAUAGCUGUUAUGGUGGGAAUGUCACUUUUAAUAAUAAUCAUGGUAUUUUUGCUAAAAAUUAUCCUACUACUACGAGCAAUAUUGCUGCUACUCUCGUGUGUAAUAAUAAUUAUAAUUAUAAUAAUAAUAAUAAUAAUAACCCUUAUAAAGACAGCUAUAAAGACAGGAAAACAUAUUCGGACCAAAAUUGUAAUUAUCCAAUAAACGAAAACACAAUGCGUGAAGAUUAUACACUAUGUGAACAUACGAAAAAGAAUUUACAUGGUUAUAAAAAUAGUAAUAGUUACAUCAACAAUAACAAAAGCAAACUGUCAAUUAACGAUUUUUGUUUUUCUGAUGAUGUAAAUGAAAACAUUACGAAUUUUUUAAUGUAUUAUCAAAAUAAGGAAAAUCAAAAGAACAAAGAAAAACAAAAACAAAAAAAAAACAAUUACAAAACAAAAAAAAAUUCCUAUCUUGAUAUGUCAACUCGUUAUAAUAAAAUUAAUUAUAUUAAUGAUAGUUUAUUUAAAUAUACUCAAAAAAAGCAUAAAAAAUAUACACCACGCUUUAUCUAUUGUAAUAAUAUUCACAACAAUGGUAGCUUUUGUAGUGGCAUAAACAAUUCUUGUCGUCCCCGGCACAGUAGUAUUGGUAUUGACAAUGCCAUUGGUACUAGUUUCGAUAGCAUUAGCGGAAGUAGUAGCGGUGGAAGUAGUAACAAUGACUACUACGCUUAUAAUCAUAAAAAAAGCAAAAAAAUAGAUAAAUGCUUAUUAGGUAUAAAUUACAUGGAUGAAAAAAUAUUUUCGGUCAAUAAAAAAAAAAAAAAAAAAUUUUUAAAUGAAUGGUAUAAUAUACUUAAUCAUAUUUAUUUUAAGGAAGGAAAUCAUGAACUUUUGUAUGACAAUCCUGAAAUGUCAUAUGGUAAUAAUGCACAAAACAAUGAUAUUGUGUAUACACAUACUGGCUCGAAUCUGAACAUGGGUGUGAAUACAUAUUACAACGGAAAUUACGAUUAUGGUCAAAGUUUUGGUCAAAGUUAUGGACAAAGUUAUGGACAAAGUUAUGGACAAAGUUAUGGNNNNNNNNNNUUAUGGACAAAGUUAUGGACAAAAUUAUGGACAAAAUUAUGGACAAAAUUAUGGACAAAGUUAUGGACAAAGUUAUGGACAAAAUUACGAUGAGAACAACAAAAUGUCGUAUAAGCACUAUAACAAAUACUUUGAAGACGACUCAAAGAGCAAACUAUAUAUGAAUAAACACCACAUUAAUCAUAAUAACAAUAUAUAUAACCGAUUCAAUAUGAAAACAGAUAAUCAAAACGAAACGAUACAUGGUAAUAAAAUUCAACUUGAAACAACAAAUGAUUACUUAAUAAAUUUUAUAUAUGAUAAAAUGAAAAAAAUAAAUAAAAGUAUCAGCAAAAAUGGGGAGGAGAGUAUUGGAAGUGGACAAAUGAAUGAACAGGCGAUGGAGCGUGCGAUUCAAAUUGCUAUGAGUCGUUUAGAAAACGAGUCAGGUCAUAAUGAUUUGCAUAAUGACUCAUGCAGCUACAGAAAUGAUUAUCCUAACAAUUGGAAUGAUGAACAUAUAUUUAAAAAACUGUCCCACCAAAAUACCAACUUAAAUUUAAGAGACUACACAUAUAAAGAAAACAAAAAAAAAAAAAAAAAAAAUAUUGACAAUCAUAAUGAGUGCAACGAUAUACAUCAUUCAUUUAAUAUAAAUAAAAAUAGCUCAAAUAGCAUUCAUGGGUAUUUACAAUAUUUGCAUAAUAAAAAAGAGUUAGAACAACAAAAGGGGUUAGCGCAAAACGGGUAUAUACCAAAAGAAUGUUACUAUAAUAAUAGAAUAAAUACACGUGAAAAUGAUGAAUAUAAUAAUUAUUUGCAUGGCGAAAGUGGCGUACAACUAAAAUCAGAUUAUAUUACAAAUGAUAAAAAAUUUUAUAAAAAUUAUGAUAAAAAUUAUGAUAAAAAUUAUGAUAAAAAUUAUGAUAAAAACAAAAAAAAAAAAAAAAUGAACAGAACAACUUCUACAAGUACAAACAGCAAUCGAGGAGUUACAAAUAAUAACAAGAGUGAAAGUAACGUUAUUAACGCUUUUCAUAUAUUUGUUUCUAACUAUUUUAACGAAAUAGGUUACAAAAAACAACCAAAGUGGUUACAGAACAAGCAUUUUCAAAAAAAUUUAACUCAAAACGACAAACAGUUACAACAAGAACUAUUAAACCAUCUUAAUGAAAACGAAUACACUUUAUUAGCUUCGAAUAAGACAAACACAUGUAAAAUGUUAAAAUGUAAGAAACAUAAUCAUGCUGGUAUGCAACUUAACAAAUUACAUAAUAAUUAUAAUUAUGAAAAAUCAUCAUAUGAUGUGUGCAUAAAGUCAAAAAACGAAAAGGAACAACAUAAUAAACAAAAAAUAGCUACAUCUAAGAAAAAUAAUAAUAACAAAACAGAUAUGAUGAUAAAUGACAAUGAUCAAAACAGUGUAUGUAUUAGUGAGUGCAAAAACGCAUGUGGCUACUGUAAAAACACGUGUGGCAAUUUUAACAGCAAUUUUAAUAACUUAAACAAGACCUAUAACAAUUGCAACAACACUUAUAAUAUUUAUAACUAUACCAAUGAUAAACAUAUAGUAAAUCAAAAUACUUUUCAUAAUUAUAAAGAUUCAUAUGUUGAUGACUCCCACAACACUUGUAAAAAUAAUGUUACUACCACCACUAUGAAUACGACUAACAUAAGCAAUGGUAAUAGUAGCAGUAGUAAUAAUAAUAAUAAUAAUAAUAAUAAUAAUGAUAAUAGUAGCAGUAGUAAUAAUAAUAAUAAUGACAAUAGUAGCAGUAGUAAUAAUAAUAAUAAUGACAACAUUAACAAUAGUAACAAUAAUAAUAAUGACAACAUUAACAAUAGUAACAAUAAUAAUAAUGACAACAUUAACAAUAGUAACAAUAAUAAUAAUGACAACAUUAACAAUAGUAACAAUAGUAACAAUAGACGUAGAAGUAGAAAUAAUAACCUUUUUUUAAAUGAAGCUGCUUUUAUUAAAAAUCAAGUAAUAUCUGCUGAAAAAACAAACAAACGUAUAAAAAAAAACAUAAAUAGACAAAUACAUACCCAGACACAUCAAAUAAUAAAGGAUGACAAUGUCGAUGAUUCUAAUUCUUGUAUAAUAGGACGUUUAAGUAUGAAUGACUCGAAAGGGGUUCAAAAAGUAAAUGAAGAAAAAACACAUUAUAAUAAUAAGAAUGAAACUGUUUAUGCUGAUAGUAUUAUACCUAGUGUCAAUUUUAGUGUUAACUACAGUAAAACCAAUAAUGAAAACCAAUAUAAACAUGAUAUAAAUGAUAAUGAAUCAUAUACAAAUACACAAUUAUACAAACUGGAUUUGACAACGAUGAAAACGGUUAACGAUUGUGACUUCUCAAACAAUUCACGUAAAACAUACUCAGCUUGUGACAAUGUACAUAUUGGUAUUACCAAUAGAAACGCUAGUGGUAGUUACGAAAACAGUGGCAUUGCAAAUGGAGUCACACAUGGAGUCACAAAUGGAGUCACAAAUGGAGUCACAAAUGGAGUCACAAAUGGAGUCACAAAUGGAGUCACAAAUGGAGUCACAAAUGGAGUCACAAAUGGAAUCACAAAUGGAGUCACAAAUGGAGUCACAAAUACAAACGAAAUGAGAAAUAGAAAAAAAAGAAACUAUCAAAACAUAAACCGUUUUACUAGUACUACCAAUAAGGCAAUAGAUAGCAAAAUAGAUGAUGACACAAUUAUAGAGCACAUAAAUGAAAGUAGUAAUGGUCAUUAUUGUGUGCCUAACAAAGUAGUAACUAAUUUAUAUGACAUGGUAAUAUAUAACAAAAACUGUAGCGAUAAUUAUUACAACAAUAGUAACAAUAAUUGUAGUCGUAAAGAAAUAAAAAAAAAUACUACUACACAAUUUUUAACAAAUGAUAACGAUUGUAAUAAUAAUACUAUUCUUGAUUCAUCUGUUGUUAAUAAAAGUGGUUUGACUCUUUUGGAUAUGCAUAAAAAAGAGUUAGCCUUGAUGAAGUUAAAAAGAGAAUUGACAAAUAACAACAUAAACGGGAUAACAGAAGAUUGUAUACAAUAUAAAAAUAAUAACAUAAUAAACACUCAUCAUGAUAGUAAUAGUAAUAACAUUUUAAAAGACCAGUACUGUUAUAGUAAUAAAGAAUGCGAAGACAAUCUUAACAAAAUAAAAGAACAACAGCAAGAAACACCACCACAACAACAACAACAACAACAACAACAACAACAACAAGAACAACAACAAGAACAACAACAACAAGAACAACAGCAAGAACCACAACAACUACUAUAUGCUAAUGGAGUUGGAUUAAAAAAUAACAUUGAAAACAGUAACAAAAAUAACAACAUAUUAAAAGAAAAAAAAAUAAAUAAAGAAUUAAAAAAAAAUAACGAAUUAAAUCAAAUAUUUAAAAAAUUAAAUUUUCAAGAAAAGGAACUAAUCUUAUCUGUACUUACAAAUAUCAAAAAUGAGAAUAAUGAUAAAACAAAUUUAGAUUACCAAGUGAAUACAGAGUUAAAUCAAAAUUUAAACCAUAGUACAAGUUAUAACGAUUGUCAAAGUGUGUAUGAUGACGACUCAAAUCAUGUAAAAAUAGAGAGUAACAAAGGUAGUAACAAAGGUAGUAAUAAAAAUAGUGACAAAGGUAGUGACAAAGAUAGUGACAAAGAUAGUGACAAAGGAAUUGAAAAAGACAGUAACAAAGACAGUAACAAAGACAGUAACAAAGACAGUAACAAAGACAGUAACAAAGACAGUAACAAAGACGGCAACAAAGACGGCAACAAAGACGGCAACAAAGACGGCAACAAAGACAGUGACAAAAGAAGCAAAAAAAGAAGUAACAAAAAGUGCAGUAACCACUAUUUUACACGAGAAGCAAAGAGUCAAUACGAAACAAAUUACUAUCAAUCAUGCGUAUAUAAAAAACAAAAAAAAAAUGAUAACUUCGACAUAUAUCAUACUAAUAACCUACCUAAUGGACAUAAUUGGUUUGAGCAUAAAGCAAAAAAUGUAAGUGACGUUGGUAAUCCCAUUAGUACUAAUGUUGCCAUGUAUAAACAAACGAAUUUAGAAACUAAUAACAAACAGCAACAAAAAACGAGUUCAACAAUACCUUUAGAUUUAAAAUAUAACUUAAGAAAAAGUUAUAGAAAGACUAAAGAUAUGUCACUAGAUACUACUACAACUACAGCUGCUAAUGAUAUUGCCACUACUACAACUGUCAAUUAUAAUAAACAACAUGAACAACAAAUUAAUUAUGACGACAAAAACUUUGCUCACGAUCAAUAUAACAUACCACAAGAAAACAACCAUGCCUUACCUGAUGAUGGUGUACAUACAAGAAGAAGCACAAAUCCAAGCAACUGUUGUGAUUUAAUAUCACACACACGUACAAAUAGUAACAGUUUCAAUGAUACUAGUGAUUAUAACACCACAAAUUAUAAUUAUACAAAAAAGCAAAGAAACAAAAAACAAAAAACAAGAAAAAAAAAACGUCAAUAGUAGUAAACACUAAUGACAUUACUAUCAUAUACAAUAAAAAGGAAAGAAAUAAACCGGCA